Molecule: long non-coding RNA, 319 nt
Organism: Daphnia pulicaria
Lineage: Eukaryota; Metazoa; Arthropoda; Branchiopoda; Diplostraca; Daphniidae
Exons: 3
Source: RefSeq, a predicted model, not a curated record
CGCGUUGGCGAUUGCGAAGAUGAUUCCGAUGGAUCCGCCAAAUUCCGGACCCAAAACCCUUGACCUAAUUUCCUCAAAAUAAUUUGUUUUUUUUCUAGAAUUUUUUUUAUGGCUUGAGUUUGGAAACUUACAUGACGAAAUAAGUGCCACCUGUAACAGACAUGGACAAGGCCGUCACCAAAGUAAUGAACGUUGAAAUGGCAAUGAUGACCAACGUUUCGCCUUUACGGAGAGUCGCAAGAAGAGCAUAACACCCCAGAUGCUCAUCAUGUUUCGGAUUAAAACGCCUUCGAUCCACCCAAAUUUGACAGUUUCCACA